AUACGUAGGUGGCAAGCGUUGUCCGGAAUUAUUGGGCGUAAAGCGCGCGCAGGCGGUCCUUUAAGUCUGAUGUGAAAGCCCACGGCUCAACCGUGGAGGGUCAUUGGAAACUGGGGGACUUGAGUGCAGAAGAGGAAAGUGGAAUUCCAAGUGUAGCGGUGAAAUGCGUAGAGAUUUGGAGGAACACCAGUGGCGAAGGCGACUUUCUGGUCUGUAACUGACGCUGAGGCGCGAAAGCGUGGGGAGCAGACAGGAUUAGAUACCCUGGUAGUCCACGCCGUAAACGAUGAGUGCUAAGUGUUAGGGGGUUUCCGCCCCUUAGUGCUGCAGCUAACGCAUUAAGCACUCCGCCUGGGGAGUACGGUCGCAAGACUGAAACUCAAAGGAAUUGACGGGG
Molecule: ribosomal RNA, 397 nt
Filed under: uncultured bacterium
Lineage: Bacteria
Description: partial 16S ribosomal RNA
Rfam family: Bacterial small subunit ribosomal RNA
Source: RNAcentral